GGAUGUGAGGGUGAUUGGGCUGUGACGUCUGUCACCCCAGUGAUCGCCAGGGUUGAUUUGGCCAAUCUGGCUGUUUAGGCAGGUGUCCCCUCCAUCCCUCACCACUCCGUGUUUGCCCUCCCGAAGCUGCACUCGGUCGAGGCCCACUCAGAGAGAGACUGUAAAAACAAAGCUCUCAAGGAAAAGGACCGUACCGUGGGUAUGAUGCUUGCCUUGCAUCCUGUGCCAUCUC
Molecule: unclassified non-coding RNA, 232 nt
Organism: Sorex araneus (European shrew)
Lineage: Eukaryota; Metazoa; Chordata; Mammalia; Eulipotyphla; Soricidae
Gene: 7SK
Rfam family: 7SK RNA
About the family: 7SK was discovered as an abundant small nuclear RNA in the mid-70s but a possible function has only recently been suggested. Two independent studies have found that 7SK RNA binds the CDK9/cyclin T complex (known as elongation factor P-TEFb). P-TEFb activates transcription by phosphorylating the C-terminal domain of RNA polymerase II.
Source: Ensembl